CCUACGGGUGGCAGCAGUGGGGAAUCUUGCACAAUGGGGGAAACCCUGAUGCAGCGACGCCGCGUGAGUGAAGAAGUAUUUCGGUAUGUAAAGCUCUAUCAGCAGGGAAGAUAAUGACGGUACCUGACUAAGAAGCCCCGGCUAACUACGUGCCAGCAGCCGCGGUAAUACGUAGGGGGCAAGCGUUAUCCGGAUUUACUGGGUGUAAAGGGAGCGUAGGUGGCAGGGCAAGUCAGAUGUGAAAACCCGGGGCUCAACCCCGGGAGUGAAUUUGAAACUGUCCAGCUGGAGUGCAGGAGGGGGAAGCGGAAUUCCUGGUGUAGCAGUGAAAUGCGUAGAUAUUGGGAGGAACACCAGUGGCGAAGGCGGCUUACUGGACUGUAACUGACGCUGAGGCUCGAAAGCGUGGGGAGCAAACAGGAUUAGAUACCCGAGUAGUC
Molecule: ribosomal RNA, 440 nt
Filed under: uncultured bacterium
Lineage: Bacteria
Description: partial 16S ribosomal RNA
Rfam family: Bacterial small subunit ribosomal RNA
Source: RNAcentral